UACAGGGGGUGCAAACGUUGCUCGGAAUCAUUGGGCGUAAGGCGCACGUAGGCGGUUCGUUAUGUCGGAUGUGAAAGCCCUUGGCUUAACCGAGGAAGUGCAUCCGAAACUGGCGAGCUAGAGUACGAAAGAGGAUCGCGGAAUUCCCGGUGUAGAGGUGAAAUUCGUAGAUAUCGGGAGGAACACCGGUGGCGAAGGCGGCGAUCUGGGUCGAUACUGACGCUGAGGUGCGAAAGCGUGGGGAGCAAACAGG
Molecule: ribosomal RNA, 253 nt
Filed under: uncultured bacterium
Lineage: Bacteria
Description: partial 16S ribosomal RNA
Rfam family: Bacterial small subunit ribosomal RNA
Source: RNAcentral